GCGCUUGUUGCCGUGUCAACUUCAAGAUGAAACUAGAUAAUUUUGGAGGACUUCUUGAAGUUGUUUAGCAGUUCAGGACAUGUCGACCAGAGGACACCAUUAUAUCUCUUGAUCUCAGCAUCAUUUUCUAUUAUUCUCAGCCUACUUCUUGUCAAUUUCACAGCACAAGAUUGAGUGAGGCUGGCACAGUGAUCGUCCUUCCAUCAUUCUCUUGUUGUACCUGAUUCCUCCUUCCUGUCAAAGACCUGGCAAGGUUUCUGCAUCCCAAGCUGAGAAGCACACUGUGGUCUUCCAGAAGCAAGCAUCCAGGAACAUGUUGAUGCCCUCAACCCCAUUACACAACCCUAUAUACUUGCUGCUGGGACAAAGAGGAACACCAUCCAUGAGUUUUUUGUUGUCCUGGACAAGCAGGUCAAACCAUGCAAGUCAACCAAUUCACUUGGAGCUU
Oreochromis aureus is the source of this 448-nucleotide long non-coding RNA. Lineage: Eukaryota; Metazoa; Chordata; Actinopteri; Cichliformes; Cichlidae. The record is from Ensembl.